Molecule: ribosomal RNA, 492 nt
Filed under: uncultured bacterium
Lineage: Bacteria
Description: partial 16S ribosomal RNA
Rfam family: Bacterial small subunit ribosomal RNA
Source: RNAcentral
AGUGAACGCUGGCGGUAGGCCUAACACAUGCAAGUCGAACGGCAGCACAGUAAGAGCUUGCUCUUACGGGUGGCGAGUGGCGGACGGGUGAGGAAUACAUCGGAAUCUACUUUUUCGUGGGGGAUAACGUAGGGAAACUUACGCUAAUACCGCAUACGACCUACGGGUGAAAGCAGGGGAUCUUCGGACCUUGCGCGAUUGAAUGAGCCGAUGUCGGAUUAGCUAGUUGGCGGGGUAAAGGCCCACCAAGGCGACGAUCCGUAGCUGGUCUGAGAGGAUGAUCAGCCACACUGGAACUGAGACACGGUCCAGACUCCUACGGGAGGCAGCAGUGGGGAAUAUUGGACAAUGGGCGCAAGCCUGAUCCAGCCAUACCGCGUGAGUGAAGAAGGCCUUCGGGUUGUAAAGCCCUUUUGUUGGGAAAGAAAAGCAGCAGGUUAAUACCCCGCUGUUCUGACGGUACCCAAAGAAUAAGCGCCGGCUAACUUCGUG